RNAcentral lists this transfer RNA (73 nucleotides) under Candidatus Vogelbacteria bacterium. RNAcentral's name for it is "tRNA-Pro". It matches the Rfam family "tRNA". From Rfam's summary of the family: Transfer RNA (tRNA) molecules are approximately 80 nucleotides in length. Their secondary structure includes four short double-helical elements and three loops (D, anti-codon, and T loops). The record is from RNAcentral. Lineage: Bacteria; Candidatus Vogeliibacteriota.
CGGAGUGUGGUGUAACGGCUAACAUUCUCGCUUUGGGAGCGAGCGACUCAGGGUUCGAAUCCCUGCACUCCGA